RNAcentral lists this ribosomal RNA (679 nucleotides) under Phialocephala fortinii. RNAcentral describes it as "eukaryotic LSU rRNA". The stretch from base 311 to 464 matches the Rfam family "5.8S ribosomal RNA". Lineage: Eukaryota; Fungi; Ascomycota; Leotiomycetes; Helotiales; Mollisiaceae. The record is from RNAcentral.
UUAGUGAGGCUUUCGGACUGGCUCAGGGUGCGCGGCAACGCCUGCCCAGAGCCGGAAAGUUGUUCAAACUUGGUCAUUUAGAGGAAGUAAAAGUNGUAACAAGGUUUCNGUAGGUGAACCUGCGGAAGGAUCAUUACAAGUGAGGCUACCGAACGUUGGAAACAGCGGUUAGGAGCUUACACCCACCCGUGUUUACAUACUAUUGUUGCUUUGGCGGGCCGUGGCCUCCACUGCGGGCUCUGCUCGUGUGUGCCCGCCAGAGGACCAAACUCUGAAUGUUAGUGAUGUCUGAGUACUAUCUAAUAGUUAAAACUUUCAACAACGGAUCUCUUGGUUCUGGCAUCGAUGAAGAACGCAGCGAAAUGCGAUAAGUAAUGUGAAUUGCAGAAUUCAGUGAAUCAUCGAAUCUUUGAACGCACAUUGCGCCCUGUGGUAUUCCGCAGGGCAUGCCUGUUCGAGCGUCAUUUAACCACUCACGCCUAGCGUGGUAUUGGGGCACGCGGUCUCGCGGCCCUCAAAAUUAGUGGCGGCGCCGGUGGGCUCUAAGCGUAGUACAUACUCCCGCUAUAGAGUUCCCCCGGUGGCUCGCCAGAACCCCCAAUUUUUUACAGGUUGACCUCGGAUCAGGUAGGGAUACCCGCUGAACUUAAGCAUAUCAAUAAGCGGAGGAAAAGAAACC